This is a long non-coding RNA of Talpa occidentalis (Iberian mole), 667 nucleotides long. RefSeq lists it as uncharacterized. The record is from RefSeq and is a predicted model, not a curated record. NCBI's taxonomy places the organism in Eukaryota, Metazoa, Chordata, Mammalia, Eulipotyphla, Talpidae. The transcript is spliced from 6 exons.
AGCUCUAUGAGCUUAAAGACAGUACAGUGCCUGCAUCUUGUCUGCCCCUCAGACCACUCCUCAGCUGCUUCUUAGGGAUCCUGAUGGUAUUCAUUUGGAGGCAUUAUCUCCAAUUCAGUGGACCUGAGAUUUGAUUCACCACACUUGAAGAUGGCUAAAGUCUUCCUUCUUGUCACAUGAUAUAUUCUUUCAGAGUUUUUGCCAACCCAGUAUCCUUCUUUGGGAUAAUCAUCUAACCUCUCUACUACAGUAAUCCUAUAACACUUCUCAGGCCGGUUAGCUUCAGUUUUAAAGUUUGCUGUGCUUUUAAUACAAGAAAUGACUUCAUUACCAUCUUCUUGGACAACUUGAAGCUCCAAAGAGACAGUGUUGGCUACUACAAAGCUGUUUGAGACAUUUGUGUGUAAGUCUUCGUAAGGGAGUUUGCUUUUAUUUCUCUUAGUGAAGUCAGCAACAUCAAGAACUUGGUCUUUCCUCACCUCGGGCCUUACUCCACAGACCAGGGAACCAGCAUGAAGAUAUUUGCCAGCAACCAAGUAUUUCCAUAUAAUUUACGUACUUGGAGACUAGGAAAAUGACAUACUGUUCCCACUGAGAAACAAAUGUUGAGCCAAGACACUAUUCAUCACUCUUAUAGAGGAGCCAUGAUGGUUGAUGGAGUUUUUGU